GACACCUACUUGGAGGAGGCUGUUCUUCAGCCCGUUCUCCUAUCGAAAUGUCUGUGGGAUUCUCCUGGUGGAAGAGGUCAAGGGUCCAUUCUUCAGCUUUUCCACCCUGUUUGCUGCUGCGGAGACUGAUCUACAGACCACAACAACAGGUACCCUAGUUUUCUGACUUCCAGAGGGUUUGGCUAAUGGGGAGUUCUGGAAGGAGACUGGAGGAAAGAGAGUGAGGGCAAGGUAUUUACUCCUCUAGCUCCCUCAGCACGGGGCUGCCUCGGGCUAGCUGUGUCUCUCUGACAGAAAGUUAUUGCUUGCCUCUGAAAGUGCCUUUCUCUAACAAGAGUCUCUUUCCAGGUUCUAGGAACUGCUUCCUCUCUUUUUGGGUCUAGGAGCUGCUUCCAAACAGCCCUGCUGAUACAAGACCCUUGAUUCCACUACAAUGCCACGCUUGUAAAUAGUCCCUUUAUAAAACCCUCCUCAACAGCCGGGCGCGAUGGCUCACGCCUGUAAUCCCAGCA
Long non-coding RNA from Cercocebus atys (sooty mangabey), 512 nucleotides. RefSeq lists it as uncharacterized. The transcript has 2 exons. The record is from RefSeq and is a predicted model, not a curated record. NCBI's taxonomy places the organism in Eukaryota, Metazoa, Chordata, Mammalia, Primates, Cercopithecidae.